Long non-coding RNA from Gallus gallus (chicken), 9365 nucleotides. RefSeq lists it as uncharacterized. The record is from RefSeq and is a predicted model, not a curated record. Lineage: Eukaryota; Metazoa; Chordata; Aves; Galliformes; Phasianidae. The transcript is spliced from 3 exons.
GGCUGUGCUGUGAGGACAGGGCCACGCGUGCUCGGGAGCGAGGGCUGCUUGCGGGCAGCCUGAUCCCAUCGCCGUGUCCUGCCUAGGAAGCUCUACGGACGUGCUUUGGUGCCUGAUCUCAUUAAUGGGUGAGAGAGAGGCUUCUUCGCAGUUCCUGUCUCCUGGAGCAGAUUUCAGCCUUUGAAUUAAGCACCAGUUCACUCUCGGUGCUACAGGGGAUAAAGAGAAUAUUCCAGUCCCUGCAUCCAUCACAGCUGCUCUGCCAAGCAAAGUUAACAAGUAAACAGUAAUCGCCCACAAUUAUUGCCCAUUACAUGCUCUCUUCACCUGAGAUCACACAACAAAGCGUGAGCGUGGAGCCACGGGAGGAGCUGGGUGGCAAGGAGCUGUCAAGAUGAAAUAACAGCAAAAAGACCUGUCAAACGCUGCCUCUGUGAAAGACCUAAAUCCUCUCCUGAUGGCCCCUUGGUGCAGUGUAGAAGAGCUACUUCUGUGUAAUUAUAAAUUGUCUGCAGGGCUUAUCUGAGAGGUUCAGGGUUGACAUUACAAUAAUAGGGUGGGUGAGCUUUAUUUAAGGGAUAAUGUUCCUGGCGGUGGUGUAUACAUGGCAAUAAAUGAGUGUGGCGAAUGAUUAACGGCAGCAGGAAGCCUGCAUGGCCCCUACUGCGUGGCCAGGGGAGGAGAGCCGGGCAGGUCCUUGUGUGCAGGGCAGUCCUGUGGGUCCCCAUGCGUCAGCCCACGCAUGGCACAGGGCCCACGUGUGAACUGGGACUGUGUGUCACUCAGGGCUCUGUGCUGGGGGGCUGUGAUGGGUGCACGCCGGAGGUGCAUGCAGGAUGGGCCGGGCCGUAUCCAGAGUGGGGAGAGGCAGGAUUUGUGUCCCCUCACUCUGAACGUGGGCCAGUGCAGUGCCUCCAUGAAAGCUGUCUGCCCGGGCUCUUUUUAUAGCAGCAGAGAGGGAAGGGCAGUUUGACGGUGUGGUACACCUGACCUACUUUAUAUGCUUACCUUAGGGUGAAUGGAACUGUUCUCAGAAUUGCAUUUUCUCUCUAUCUUCUAUAUAGAGAAGAAAGUAAGCUCAGAUGUGGACCUGUAAGCCAGGAAGGGUUGAUCCCGCUGGAAAUACAUUGCUUCCUUCAGCCAGCGGGUUUUUUUUUGUUUUUUUUGUUUUUUUUAGCAUGCUCCUCUCAUUCUACUGCAUCUUAAGAAUGAAUUUGCUACAUUGUUUUCAUAGAAGUGUUAGUUAAAAAGAGAGUGCAGAAAGAGAGCUUUGCACCUGAGCCAUACCUGACGUCCUGCCAGGCGAGGCUCCUCCCCUGCUCCCAUCCUGCAGACGGGGGCAGUAAUGCUGGGGAUGGAGGGGCUGCUGUGAGUCCCGCUGCUUGCAGGGAAGCUGUGCACGGCAGUUGGUGUGCCUGUGAUGGUGGGCAUCAAGGGGCUGCCCACCAGCCCUUUGUUGGAGAGCCCCACGGCGUGAGUGCUGCGCGUCCUGGCACUGAAGCCAAGCCUGAAGUCUGGCACUUCGUGUUGGAGGAAGAAAAUGGACCGUGGAUGCACGGUGUCCGGCUCAAACGUGUCCAAAGCCGAAACGGGAGGCAGCUGUGAUGUUAUUGCAGCGGAACGUCGUGGGAGGGCAGCUCUGCUCAGGGCAGCAGCCCUGCUCUCUUCACGCCGGGUUGCAGCGAAUUGCAGGGCUGCAUUACUCUUCCAAGGGGAGGGAGCACAUCCCUGCUCCUGAGUGCAGGCAGCGCCCGGCCGGAUGGGUUUCCUGCAGGGGAGGCGGACUCCCCAACUGCCCCCGGUGAUGGGAAAGCAGUAGAAAGGCGACGUGAGCUCCGAUCCCGUUACCAAUCAAAGACACUGAUUGAGACUGGGGGAGCUGCCGGGCUGGUCCCACUCGGGAGAGUUAGUGGUGAUAUUAACUGGAGGAAAUUCUACAGAGUCGUGGUUGCCAUGAGAUUAAAUCUGGUGAAGCUGUUGGUAAUAACCAAGCUCCUGCCCGUCCCCCUGCCACAGGACAAACCAUGUACGAGAUUGUUCUCCCAUGGAGCUCAUGAAGAACAUCUGGAUGAGAGAGAAAACGAAGCCUGUCCAAAGAACACAGUGAACCAAGGGAGGGGAACUGCCUCUCCCCCGGAGCUGUGGAACGCUCCCAGUUCACAUUGGUGUCUUUUACAGCCCCUUUGGAUUUUGCUGCAUCACAUGAACGGUGCUUACACAGAUGGUAAAAAUAUGUUUUUCUGAAGGCAUAGUAAAUGUCUGUGAUAGACAUGAUACCAGGCUGUCAUCGGCACAAGUGUAUCUGUGCAUUGUUUCCCUGUUUUUCUGGGCUUCCGGACAAGUGCCACUACAACCACCAAUUUUCCUGUCUUUUUUUCCUUUGCUUGUACAAGAUUCUCAAUACAAACCCCUUCCUUCUCAGUGGGAACAGAAUGCACUGCUGGGCAGAGAAUUAAAGCAAACGUGGUUUUGGAUCCAUCUGGGUGAAAUAGGGAAAAUUUUUCUGUUAGAUGUCAAUCCAACCAGUGCCAGCUGAGCUCCCUGCCUUUCCCCUCCCCGCUCCUCCUUGGGGCCAUGGCUGUGGCCCCCGGCCCUGGGGGAGAGCAGCAGCACUCAGGACCUGCAGUGCAGGGUGAGACUGAGCCAAUGCUGGCUGUGUGACCCCGUGUGCCCGCCCGCAGCCCGAUGGAAGUGUUGGUGGCAUCCGCGUGGCAUUGGUGCACACUCUUCCAUGGGUGAGUUGUACCCAGUCCAUGGGGAUCAGUGCUUGCUGCCAUGCCUGUGAAUUCUGGAGCCCAGUGGGGCUGGCAGCGCUCCCCAGCAGGCAGCGGGGCAGCAGAGGUGUGAGGCAGCAGGAGAGGAUGAGGUGCCCGGGCUGACAUGGCCAUCCACUGGGAUGCAGGUGCAUUGGCAGAGCAGUUGGGAACCCCACGUGUUGCCUGGCUGCUUCUGUCUAGCGCUGUUAUGCCCUGCUAAGAGCACUAAAUUUGUUUGCAUAUCUGCAAGGGAACAAAAGAUCCUCCUUUAAAGUAAAAAUGCCAUUCACAAGUUCUGUACUACUUAUUCUGCUUGAACCUACUUUAAAAAAAGUGACCUUUAAGCAUUUUGUUCGCUCACUCUGAUGUUAGAUACAGUUCUCUCCAAUAAAUCUCAUUUUAGCUGUUGCUUUAAAUUAAGCAAAUUCUACACCUCCAGGGCUGCCAACAACAGCCACAUCUUCCAGAGAUUUCCUCAACUGGUGUUCCUCUUUAAUUGAUUUCAAAUUGUUUAAAAGUAAUUAUCAGUAAUGGAGCUGUGGUCCAUGUAAACACCAUCUCUGCAAGCAGGUACUGCUUUUCCCACUGAAUCCAGAAACAUGAAGGCUCUGCAAGAAGUAUUCCCUGCACUGCUUCUUAGAGAUGGAGAUGUACACUGCUGAAAACACACGGGACACAGCUCAUCUGGCUCCUGUAACUGCAAAGGGGCAAACAUGAAAUAUAUUGUGCCAGUGCUGACACAGUGCUAUGGCACUUGGUCUGAAGCACUAAACUUGGAAAGACACUCAAGAGAGAAUCCCACCACGGCCAAAACCAAAUGAAAAACAUGGGUUUGUGUAAGAAGAGACUGGGGAGGCUGUGGCUGAAGAGGGCUGCAGUCCAUAGUUGGGGUUCCUGUGAGCUCACUGGGGUUCUCUCAGAUCUUCAGAUGAUUGCUGUUAUUAUCGCUCCUGUCCAUCCCUCUGGCAGCACAGCAGCAGUGAGAAGCUUAUCAGCUCUGACUAUAAGGUGCUCGGGGCAGCCCUCCAUCACCAGGAUCCCAGCUGCUGACAUUAUCCUCUUUGCUGGGCUGAUGUAAUUAUGCCCACAUCUGUUGAUAAAAGCGUGGUGAUGAUCAGCAUAGAAAGACCUGGAGGUUAACUGGAGCUGAGCUGCAGGGACGCUCGGCUGUCACCUUGCCUGGAGCAGCAGGACACUGGGAGAAGGAACCUGCUGCUCCUGGGGAAGGACGGGGCAGGAGGAGCUCUCCUGAUAGCCGUGUGCUGGAGCCCUCCUGCUGGGUUCCAAUAGCUGGGGAGGGCCCUCCAACAGCGCUGGAACAAAGUGGGCUGUGUCAGCCAUGCCCAGGGCUACGGGAACUGAGGGGGAGGCAGCCAGAGGGUGACGGAGGCAGAAACCUCCCCACCAUCUAGCAGGUAAAAGCAAGUAAUAGGCAGUGGCCUGAGGAAGAGACUGCACCAGCAGGGGAAGUUCUGCUCUUACGUGUCAGAUUUGUGCAUUGCGGAUGGUUCAGUGUAGGGGAGAGGGAAGGACAGAGAGGUGCUGCGAGGCAGUGUAUCUGAGGCAGCCUCUGGCUUUGUAUUCGUGCCACCUCUCGCGCCGCUCUCGCUCUGGCACGCUCUAACUCCGCUCAAGGAGCAGCGCAAAGCAGCCAGAGAAGAUGCUGCCUGUAAAUAACGAGCCCAGGGUGUGCUGCGUAGAUUGAAGCACAAAAGGAAGAAGGCAGUGUGGGCUCACCGUGUGCACUGACAGUCUCCACUCCGCACCUUGAAUUUCAUAAGCCAUAUUUUUCUUACCGGCACUGCUGUACAACAAAGGCAGAGUGAGCAGGUUCCUUGGGAUCACAGGCAGCCCUCAAAGCAGCAUCUUUGCCAUGCAUAAUCAAAACCCAGCUCUUGUUAUUUGUUCACCACAAAGAAAAAGAAACUCCUGAAGCACUGUGAGGAGGAGGAAAGCGUGCGCGUACCUGUGUGUGUGUGGUGAUACGUGCUCUGGAGCCGGGAGCCACCCACAAUGGUGCUCCUCACGCUGCUGAGCAGGACCCCCGUGUGCCCCCCCAUGUAGGUGCAGAGCCCCCAGCGCUGUCAGGGAGCCGUGCGGCUGUGGGAGCUCUGCCUGCCUCUCCCCUGCACAGCCCCGGCUGCAGCCCGAGGAGCCGAUGAUUUAUUUAUGUGCAUUUGCAGUGUGCACAGCAGCUGCCCGCCCUGAGCCGAGGCACCCUGCCCGCGGUGCCCCGGAGCACGGCCAGGCUCUGCCCCGUGAUGUGCAGAGUGGGGGUGCUGUGCCCUGGCCGUGCCCCGAUGCCGCCCGUGAGCCGGGUGCUGCUGCCUGUUCCAAUGGGCUGCUCGGCAGUGCUGCCGACAACGUCCUCUGUUCCUUUAUUGCCAGAUUUUUCUUCUUGGCUUAGAUCAGCCUGGAACCAGUGUCAGAUGUUACAGCCUUACAGGGCAGCCGGCAAAGGCACUGCAGUCCCUGCUGGAGGCUGAACUCCAGCGCAGCAGGCCUGGUCCCCCAGCUUACCCUCUAACCUCACUGCCCAACAUUUGUCUGCGAUGGAACCACUCCUGAGGAGUGCAGGAGAAAGUGUUAGGCUCCCACCUUGCUGGGGACAGGAGGCCCAGCCAUAGGUGGCACGUGGCUGCUGGCUGACCUCACACCUCCCAGAGUAACCGGGGGCAGGGGAUUCCCAGCUGCUUCCAGCAGCUGCUGGCUGAGCACAUCCAUCACCUCUCAGGACCACACGCAAACGCAGGUGGAGGAGAGUGAGGCUGCCUUGGUGGCAUUCUGCUCCCAUAGCUGCAGGGAGGAAAGGAAAGCAGCAGCCCAGGCAGUCAGAGUGGUGCAGGCUUCCAGAGCAAUGGUGUCUCCAGCUCUGCCUCCUUCACAGCGGGCACCUGCAGCUUUCCUCCUGCGGUCCCUCUCAGCACAGAAUCCUCCCAAAACCCGUGUCAGGAGCCCAUGCAUGGAAGCUGUAAGCCCCAGGCUGGCAAGAGGAAAGCGUUUGCUCUGCAGCUUGGAGGCAGCACCCGUGCAGCCCCUCCGGCCCCGGCAGCGGAGGUAAAGUGUAGGAGUGGGGCUGCUCCACGUGUGAUCCCAGCGGAUGCAAUCAGCAACAGGAGUGCUUUCCAGACCCCAUGCUGAGCUGUAUUCAAAAUACAUUUGUACGAACAUCAAUUUUUAAUGCAAUUUAUGCCAAAUGUUGUUGCAAAAAGCAGCCGUUAACAUGACAUUAAUUCAAUCACUGGAAAUACAGUACGUGCUGCUAAAUGAAAACAUGUUAUUAGUCAAUUAAAUUAACUGGAUGUAACCCUUCCAAAUGCAAUGUAUUAUGGUUUCUACAUGGUUAAUUACGUUGUACAAAUUACAUGGCAAUAAGGGUUAGCGCUGGACACACACAUACCAUUAAUGUGCAGAAAAAAACCCAAAGCAAUUCACAGUUGAGCUCUGUAGAAAUAUAAAUAUCUUGCAAGCUUGAAAUAGAGGCAGAAUUAUGCUGGUGUUACAGUGGUAACGGGGCAAUUUCUAAAAGCAUCAGGAAAGCCUUUGCUGUGAGAUCACAGCUGCCGGCGGCCGCUUUCAUAAUGAGUUUUAAUCUGCUUUAAAAAGACCAUUUUAAUUUUGAGCAGAAAUUCUCCUGGUCGUGGUGAAGUCCCUCUCUCUGCAGGAAUCUCUCAGCGCCCACACAAGUGAUGACUGCUGCCUCCCCCUGUGUUUGUGUUUUGGGAUGAAUUUGUGCCCACUUGCAAGGAGUGGUGCCAGACGUUGGUGCCAGGAGCGGGCACUGAGCCUGGCAGAGCGCGGCGCUGCAGGCACUGCCUGCCCACGGCACAGCACGGGCAGUACUGCCAGCACCGGCGGGACGGCAGCACCGUACAGCUCUGCCGUGGGCUGCUUCCAGAUGGGCUCCACUGUGCAGCCCCUGGAAAUGGGGGGCUCCUUCCCAGGAAGGAGUCGUCUGUAUCUGUUUACAUAUCUCUGCUGUCAGGGAAUGGGCUCUGAAUUUCUCGGUCAAGACUGGAAUAAGUGUCUUACCUCUUCCCUGCCCUGGUGCUCUCCUGCUACUUUCCAGGUCUUCUCCCAUCCCGUCCCCUCCUCUACCAGCCCAGAUCACAGCGCUCACUUUGUUCAUGCUGUUCUGCUUCACAGGGAUGUGCCAGGUCCCUCCGGCCUCCCCAGGAGGUUCUUUGGCACAGCGGUUCUUCUCCCAGGCUGGGAAACGUGGACGGGCACUGCUGGGGCCAUUGUCACCCCGGGGUGCUGGGACAUGGCUAGUGGCUGCCCCUCGACUUGGGGACACUCAGGGCCCUGCAUUGCAGCAGCACGCAAUGCUCAGGCUACAAAUGGGCUCCAGCACAACUCGUGGAGCUCUGCAGGUGUGGGUGAGGGGGAAAAAGGAGCAGUAGUAAGGCGAUAAGUGAAACAGGAGGUGCAACACGUGGCCAUGGCCAGAAUGCAACAGGUGUGCAGCACCGCACAGGGAUGAUGGAGCAGCCCUCGCUGCACACAUCUCUGGGUACCAUUGCGGAGAAGGGGUUCUUAAGCAAAACCGGGGAGGCGCUGUGCAUAGCAGAGUGGACGGUGGGAUGCUUCAGUGCUGCAGGAUGCAGAGCCCGAGCAGUGCCUGUCCCAGAACAGCCCAUGCCAAGAGAGCGGUUCUUGCUCUGGGUGGGGUGCUGUGCCCCUUGGGUAGAUGAUGCUGAGCUGUGCGCCUCACGCCGGCCCCCACCGCCUCCCAUCCUUGGGGCGGGGGAUGAGCUGCAGUGCUGGAAGUCCACUGGUGAGUCUGGGGGUGAGAUUUAAUUUGACGUAACCACGGGGCAUGGCUGGGGAGCAGGCGGGGGCAGUGGAGGAUGGCUUAUUGGUUUCAGCGGGAGCACAGAACGAUGCGAGCAACCUCAGUGCUCCGCCGUCCAGAUACACACCAUCGCACUGUUGACUUAGCGGCAGCCGCUGACAGAGAGGAGUGAUAAAGCUCUUGGAGAUAUUCCUGUCUCAUCCGUCUCGUGUAAAUCAGAGGAAGGCUGCAGACAUCAGAGCAGACAAAAUGCAAAAGCAAUAAAAACCUCCCGACUCUCACUGAAGGCAGAGGCCGGUCUGACAUGACCACUGGCAACAGAAAGGCUUCACACGAGCAGGGAGUUGCUUACUUGAGGAAUUGUUGAUUAUUUAGUGGCUGCUUAGGGGGCUGGGAAGGAAAUCAAAGCUCCUGCUGUUCGCCGGCUGAUGAAAGGACGGCGCGCUGCCCCAUUGCAGCCCUUGUUUACCACCAGCUCUACCUGCUCCGAGGAGCUGGAGCGAUUUCUGACUGCUGCUCAGAAAUAAAAGGAGCCCAAGAAUCAAUCAUUUGUUUACAUUGUAUAACUUGUUGAAAAUCAAUUGGCUCCACAUGUUGCAGAUCUGAUUGCAUUUUGUUAGUGGUCACACGGAAUGGUUUUCCCGUGACGUGCCUAUAUUUGUGGUUUCUUCAAUGCAUCAAUUGUACCCAGCUUUUAGGAUAAUUGAGAAUGAGCAACAAUCCCCUUUAUAAAUAUUAACUCUGAUAUGCUUGGGAAGCUCCGUCUCUCUUGGAUGAAUUUUUAACUAGCUUUUUAAUCUAUCACCUCUCGUUAGAAAAGCAGGAGCGUUUCUUGCUGCCUGUUUUUGUACCUCUAGCACUGCUGCCCCUGACAGUCCUGUGCUUGGCUUUGGGCACGCUCAGGGCUCGUGCCGAGCUGCUGCAUGGGGCCAUCCUGGGCGUCCCAGCAUCCCCUUUAGAUUUUGCAAUGUGGUUUCGUACCACUUUGGGCACUGCCGUGCAUUUUCUUCACUCUCAAAUCUGUUCUUCAAGCUUCCCUUUGGGGAACCAAGGAGCGAGCAGCGCUCCGACUGCUGCAUGUGUCAGCCGUACAGCUGUGCCCAGGGCUGGAUGUGGCAACAGGCAGUUUCCAAGCAUGCAGCCCGGCUGUCCCUGCUCCACGUGCUUGCUGCUUCCCCCCUCUCCUUGCGCUGCUUUUUCUGCAGAGCAGCACAGCCCUUUUGCAACCUCACAUGUUUGUAUUUCAUAUCUGACUUCAGCAGACAGCUGCACUCUGUUGCUCUGCGGUUGGCCAUCUCCCUGCACACCAAACGUCAUCCCAGAGCUGGGGAAGCACUGCCGGCCCCUUCCUGCCCACCCCUGCCCUGGGACACCUCCUGCAGCACCGAGCUGGGCUCUGGGGCCAGGGCUGCUGCAGGGCUGUGGCUGCGGAGGGGACAAGGCCAUUGGGUCUGGGCAGAGUGGGCUGGCAGCGGUGGGCUGUGUGUGUACCCACCCACUUCUGGUUGGCUCCGCAGAGCAGCAGGUCAGGGCCCAACAGCUCCUGCCCGUCUCAAUUAAACUGUUUCCUUUCCCUCUCAAUCAGAGGUUGCCUUCUUUAAUAUCAUCUGAAAGUCUGUCAAACUGUGUAUUUUCUUGUGAAACCUCUAUGCAGAAAAAAGACAAAAGGAGAAAGGGAUGCUGUUCAAAUGAAAGCCCUACUUUACAUUUCAAAUACUUUGACAGGGCUUUCUCUUCUCUUUUUCUUGGAUCUUUAAUAAAAGCUUUUAAGAGAUACUCUUUUAAAAUGGUGAUUGCUUCCCAAGGGACGUGUC